CCUACGGGAGGCAGCAGUGAGGAAUAUUGGUCAAUGGCCGGAAGCCUGAACCAGCCAAGCCGCGUGAGGGAUGACGGUGCUAUGGAUUGUAAACUUCUUUUGUCGGGGGACAAAGGCGUCCACGUGAGCACUGACGAGGGUACCUGAAGAAAAAGCAUCGGCUAACUCCGUGCCAGCAGCCGCGGUAAUACGGAGGAUGCGAGCGUUAUCCGGAUUUAUUGGGUUUAAAGGGUGCGUAGGCGGACAGUCAAGUCAGCGGUAAAAAUGCGGUGCUCAACGCCGUACAGCCGUUGAAACUGGCAGUCUUGAGUGGGCGAGAAGUAUGCGGAAUGCGUGGUGUAGCGGUGAAAUGCAUAGAUAUCGCGCAGAACUCCGAGUGCGAAGGCAGCAUACCGGCGCCCUACUGACGCUGAGGCACGAAAGCGUGGGUAUCGAACAGGAUUAGAUACCCUUGUAGUC
This 459-nucleotide ribosomal RNA is filed under the name uncultured bacterium. RNAcentral's name for it is "partial 16S ribosomal RNA". It matches the Rfam family "Bacterial small subunit ribosomal RNA", at positions 338 to 795 of the family's 1533-position model. The record is from RNAcentral.